AUUCAGCUGACGAAUCCCAAAUAGAACGAAACAUGCGUCCUGGAU
This 45-nucleotide non-coding RNA is filed under the name Schistosoma curassoni. Lineage: Eukaryota; Metazoa; Platyhelminthes; Trematoda; Strigeidida; Schistosomatidae. The record is from RNAcentral.